GCCCCGGAUAAUUACGAGCCAGCAGCCGCGGUAAUGUCUAGGGUCCAAGCCUUGUCCGGAAUUUUUGGGGGUAAAGAGUUAGUAGGCGGUUUGUCGCUUGUGCCGUGAAAGCCCGGGGCUUAACCCCGGGUGUGCAGUGGGUACGGGCAGACUUGAGUGCAGUAGGGGAGACUGGAAUUCCUGGUGUAGCGGUGAAAUGCGCAGAUAUCAGGAGGAACACCGAUGGCGAAGGCAGGUCUCUGGGCUGUUACUGACGCUGAGGAGCGAAAGCAUGGGGAGCGAACAGGAUUAGAUACCCUGGUAGUCCAUGCCGUAAACGUUGGGCACUAGGUGUGGGGAACAUUCCACGUUUUCCGCGCCGUAGCUAACGCAUUAAGUGCCCCGCCUGGGGAGUACGGCCGCAAGGCUAAAACUCAAAGGAAUUGACGGGGGCCCGCACAAGCGGCGGAGCAUGCGGAUUAAUUCGAUGCAACGCGAAGAACCUUACCAAGGCUUGACAUACACCGGACCGGGCCAGAGAUGGUCUUUCCCCCUUGUGGGGCUGGUGUACAGGUGGUGCAUGGUUGUCGUCAGCUCGUGUCGUGAGAUGUUGGGUUAAGUCCCGCAACGAGCGCAACCCUCGUUCUAUGUUGCCAGCACGUGAUGGUGGGGACUCAUAGGAGACUGCCGGGGUCAACUCGGAGGAAGGUGGGGAUGACGUCAAAUCAUCAUGCCCCUUAUGUCUUGGGCUUCACGCAUGCUACAAUGGCCAGUACAAUGGGUUGCGAUGCCGCGAGGUGGAGCUAAUCCCAAAAAGCUGGUCUCAGUUCGGAUCGUGGUCUGCAACUCGACCACGUGAAGUCGGAGUCGCUAGUAAUCGCAGAUCAGCAACGCUGCGGUGAAUACGUUCCCGGGCCUUGUACACACC
RNAcentral lists this ribosomal RNA (907 nucleotides) under Kocuria rhizophila. RNAcentral's name for it is "bacterial SSU rRNA". It matches the Rfam family "Bacterial small subunit ribosomal RNA", at positions 490 to 1391 of the family's 1533-position model. Lineage: Bacteria; Bacillati; Actinomycetota; Actinomycetes; Micrococcales; Micrococcaceae. The record is from RNAcentral.